Molecule: ribosomal RNA, 499 nt
Filed under: uncultured bacterium
Lineage: Bacteria
Description: partial 16S ribosomal RNA
Rfam family: Bacterial small subunit ribosomal RNA
Source: RNAcentral
GACGAACGCUGGCGGCGUGCCUAAUACAUGCAAGUCGAGCGGACUUUCAAGAAGCUUGCUUUUUGAAAGUUAGCGGCGGACGGGUGAGUAACACGUGGUCAACCUGCCUGCCCGACGGGGAUAACUCCGGGAAACCGUGUCUAAUACCGGAUAAUAUCUUCCUUCUCAUUAAGGACGGUUGAAAUGCGGCGCAAGCUGCGGCUUGCAGAUGGGCCCGCGGCGCAUUAGCUCGGUGGUGAGGUGACGGCUCACCAAGGCGACGCUGCGUAGCCGACCAGAGAGGGGGAGAGGCAAAACUGGGACGGGGACACGGCCCAGAAGCCUACGGGAGGGAGCAGGAGGGAACCGCGAGGAAUGGAAGAAAGGGGGAAGAUGCGACGACGCGCGAGCGCAGAAGGUAUUCGGACCGUGAAGGUCAGUUGUCAGGGAAGAAAGAGAACCGUUCGAACAGGGCAGGAUCUUGACGGUACCGGAACAGAAAGCCACGGCUAACUACGUG